Molecule: long non-coding RNA, 2340 nt
Filed under: Homo sapiens (human)
Lineage: Eukaryota; Metazoa; Chordata; Mammalia; Primates; Hominidae
Description: HSALNT0093480
Source: RNAcentral
GUUUCAUAUAUUUCCUGAAUUGAUCUCCGAAAUUUGUCUUCUCUUUCUUUUUAAAGAACAAAUUUCUCAACAUCAAUAUUGUGUUAGCAUUCUAGGGACAAGUAAUAGAAUACUAAGAAUUGUAAAAUGCAAACAAAAUAAAUAACCUAGCAAAAAUGGAUACAUUAUUAGAAAUACAACCUAUCAAGACUGAAUCAUUUAGAAAUUAAGAAACCUGAACAGAAAUAUCACCAGUGAGGUGAUUGAAUCAGCAAUCUAAAAUAUCCAAACAAACCAACAAAACAAACAAAAUAAUCCCGUACUGGAUGGCUUUACUGAAGAAUUCUACCAGAAACUGAAAAUAGAAUUAACACUAAUCCUUUUCAAACUCUUCCAAAAAAAAAAAGAAAGAAAGAAAAAACUAAGAGAGGGAGCAGUUCCAACAAGUUCUAUGAGAUCAGCAUUAUUCUGAAAAGUCAGGUAAAGCUAUUACAAGAAGAGAUGUACAAAAUACUAGCAAACUAAAUUCAACAACACAUUAAAAGGAUUAUACACUAUGAUCAAAUAGUAUUUAUUCCUGGAAUACAAGUAUGGCUCACCAUAUAAAAAUCAAUCAAGGUAACGCACCACAUUAACAGAAUAAAGGACAAAACUCACAUAAUUAUCUCAAUUGAAGCAAAAAAAAAUUGACAAAAUUUGACACCCUUUCAUAAAAAAAAAAAAAAAAAAAAAAAAAAAAAAACUCAACAAACUAGGAAUAGGAGGAAUCUACUUCAACCCACUAAAGCCAUAUAUGUAAAAGCCACAGCUAACACCAUACUCAAUGGCGAAAGACUGAAAGUUUCUCCCAAUCAGUCAGGACUAAAGCAAGGAUGUCCAUUCUUACCACUUUUAUUCAGCAUAGUACUGGAAGUCUUAGCCAGAGCAGUUAGGCAAAGAAAAAAAGUAAAAGGAAUCCAAAUUGUAAAGGAAGAAAUAAAAUCAUUUUUCUGCAUAAAUCGUUUCUCUUCAUAAAUGACAUGACCUUCUGUGUAGAACACUCUAAAGAUCUCUCUCACACACACACAAAUACAUUGUUAGAACUAAUAACAGACUUUAGCAAAGUUAUAGUAUACAAAUUCAAUACACAAAAAUUAGUUGUUUCUGUUCACUGAUAAUGAUCAACACCAAAUGGAAAUUAGGAAAGCAAUACUAUUUACAAUAGAACACAAAAGGAUAAAGUAUGAAUAAACUGAACUAAUGAGACAAAAGACUUAUGCACUAAAAACUAUAAAACAUUGCUGAAGGAAAUUAAAGAAGACACACAUAAACGGAAAGACAUCCAAUGUUCAUGAGAUGAUUGAAAGACUUAAUAUUGUUAAAAUACAUACUACUCAAAGUGAUCUAUACAUUCAAUGUAAUCCAUCAAAAUCCCAAUGACAGUUUUUGCAGAAAUAGAAAAAAACUCUAAAAAUUCAUAUAAAAUCUCCAGGGACCCCAAAUAGUCAAAAAAAAAAAAAAAAAAAAAAAAAAGCCUUUACACUUUGGGAGGCCGAGGAGGGCGGGUCACUUGAGGUCAGGAGUUCAAGACCAGCCUGGCCAACAUGGUGAAACUCUUUCUGUACUAAAAAUACAAAAAUUAGCUGGGCAUGGUGCUGCAUGCCUGUAAUUUCAGCUACUCGGGAGGCUGACUCAGGAGAAUCACUUGAACCCGGGAGACAGAGGUUGCAGUGAGCCGAGAUUGCACCACUGCACUCCAACCUGGGUGACAGACUUUUUCGUAUAAAAAAAUUAAAAAGAAAAGCAAAGUUAGAGGUCUCACGCUUCCUUCUUUCUAAACACAGUACAAAAUUUUAGUCGAGAAAACAUUGUGGUACUGGCAAAAAGACAGGCAUAUAUGCCAAUGCAGUAGAAUCAACAGCCCAUAAUUAAAACCUUGCGUGUGUGGUCAAAUGAUCUUUGACAAGGGUGUCAAGCCUAUUCAAUGAGGAAAGAAUAGCCUCCUCAAUAAUUUCUCCUGAGAAAAUUGAGUAUCCACAUCCAAAAGAAAAUAAUUGGAUCCUUACCUUCCAUGGUGUACACAAAUUAAUUCACAAUUGAUUUAAAAAUAUAUAAGGCCUAAAACUGGAGAAUUCCUAGAAGCAAACAUAGGAGAAAAGCUUUAUGACAUUGUAUUUGGCAAUGAUUUUUGAAUAACACAAAAACACAGGCAAUGAAAGCAAAAAUACACAAGUGGGACUAUAUCAAAUUUAAAAGCUUCUGCAUAGCAAUAACAGUAAAAAAAUCAACCUACAGAAUAGGAGGAAAUUUUUGUAAAUCAUAUGUCUGAUAAGGGAUAUAUAAAGAAUAUAUAAAAAUCCAGAAUAUAUCAAGAACUAUAAC